RNAcentral lists this unclassified non-coding RNA (205 nucleotides) under uncultured Mucoromycotina. RNAcentral describes it as "sequence contains ITS1". Lineage: Eukaryota; Fungi. The record is from RNAcentral.
GAGUAUUUGAAUUUGAACCUACCUGUGUGUGGGUUCAAACAAAUCUGACUUUGUGGUAACAAUGAAAAAAAAAUAGGAUUGGGUUUAAAGAUGAUGCUUUUAAAGAAAUUUAGAGGUAUCGACCCAAGCUGCUUUUAUUCAACUCUCUUAUUAUUUGACUGAAUUUAUCAAGUUAAACCAUUUCGGUUUAAAAAAAAAGUUUAAA